This 926-nucleotide ribosomal RNA is filed under the name uncultured Bacillota bacterium. Its description in RNAcentral is "bacterial SSU rRNA". It matches the Rfam family "Bacterial small subunit ribosomal RNA", at positions 58 to 959 of the family's 1533-position model. The record is from RNAcentral. Lineage: Bacteria; Bacillati; Bacillota.
CAAGUCGAACGCGAAAGCCUCCUUCGGGGGGCAAGUAGAGUGGCGCACGGGUGAGUAACACGUAGGUAAUCUACCUUUGGAUUGGGAAUAACCACCGGAAACGGUGGCUAAUACCGAAUAAUGCAGCGGCACCUAAUGGUGACAGUUGUUAAAGCGGGGGAUCGCAAGACCUCGCGUCUGAAAAGGAGCCUGCGGCAGAUUAGCUAGUUGGUAAGGUAACGGCUUACCAAGGCGAUGAUCUGUAGCCGGCCUGAGAGGGCGGUCGGCCACACUGACACUGACAUACGGGUCAGACUCCUACGGGAGGCAGCAGUCGGGAAUUUUGGGCAAUGGGCGAAAGCCUGACCCAGCAACGCCGCGUGAAGGAUGAAAUCCCUCGGGAUGUAAACUUCGCAAGAACGGGAAGAAUAAGUAAGAGUUAAUAUCUCUUACGAUGACGGUACUGUUUGUAAGCUCCGGCUAACUCCGUGCCAGCAGCCGCGGUAAUACGGGGGGAGCAAGCGUUGUUCGGAUUUACUGGGCGUAAAGGGCGCGUAGGCGGCCACCGCAAGUCGACUGUGAAAUCUCCGGGCUUAACCCGGAAAGGUCAGCCGAUACUGCGGGGCUAGAGUGCAGAAGGGGCAACUGGAAUUCUCGGUGUAGCGGUGAAAUGCGUAGAUAUCGAGAGGAACACCUGCCGGCGAAAGCGGGUUGCUGGGCUGACACUGACGCUGAGGCGCGAAAGCUAGGGGAGCGAACGGGAUUAGAUACCCCGGUAGUCCUAGCCUUAAACGAUGAAUGCUUGGUGUCUGGGGUUUUAUAGUCCCCCGGGUGCCCGUCGCUAACGCUUUAAGCAUUCCGCCCUGGGGAGUACGGUCGCAAGACUGAAACUCAAAGGAAUUGACGGGGUCCGCACAACGGUGGAGCAUGUGGUUUAUUCGACGCAC